Colossoma macropomum (tambaqui) is the source of this 829-nucleotide long non-coding RNA. RefSeq lists it as uncharacterized. NCBI's taxonomy places the organism in Eukaryota, Metazoa, Chordata, Actinopteri, Characiformes, Serrasalmidae. The record is from RefSeq and is a predicted model, not a curated record. The transcript is spliced from 7 exons.
UUUUUUCCACCAGCUGUGAAUAUUGUGAGUGUACUUGUUUCAGUCUAGCUGCAUUCAUUAACAUUAGAGGAAACACAGAAAGAGAUCAGAUUCACCUGAACCCAGCUAUGUGUCCAUGAAGAGUGACCACUCAAUGGGUCAGCCAGUACACUUCAGAGAAGUAGAAUGUUUUACUGAUAUGAGGAGCUGAACUCAGAACAGGAGCUGGAUGAGUUUGACCUGCGUAAAUAUGAUACAUAGAGGAAAGUCUUUUAAGGCUGCUGCCAGUCGUCAAAAAGCCUCCAAAAGAGUUGAGGGGAGCUCUAUCCAGGCUGAAGGUUGGUGUGUGCAGUGGGAGAAGCACUUCCUGGAUAAUACCAUAAAAGAGACAGGAAAAUGAAGAAGAGGAGGGGAACCAACCUUGCUGUUGUUUUUUGGUGCCCUGUGUGAGUUUUGGGUCUGUGGUCUUUUUUGGCAAACGUGUGCUGUGUAAAGUGUUUAUAGAAAGACAACUAUGCAACAGUGCUAAAUUGACUUGUUUCUUUUGUCACCACUGCUGGAAAGGGGGUUCCAGCUGUGACCUGUAGGAGAUAUGAGCUCCAAAAUGAGUUCAUCUGGAGAAGAACACACAGAAAAAGACCAGAUAGAGAGAACAGACUCAUCUGAACCCAGUUGUGUGUCCGUGAAGAGUGACCGGUCUAUGGAACCUCCACCAAAAUUCAAAGACUAUUCUACUGACGGGAGUGUGACUCAGAGAGAGACAUCAGAAUCACUUGAAUCCAGCUCUGUGUCCAUGAAGAGUGACCGGUCAAUGGAACCUCCACCAAAAUUGAGAGAGGGAGAGUGUUCU